RNAcentral lists this small nucleolar RNA (96 nucleotides) under Sorghum bicolor (sorghum). RNAcentral describes it as "snoRNA snoZ103". It matches the Rfam family "Small nucleolar RNA Z103". From Rfam's summary of the family: This family consists of several snoRNA Z103 sequences which are members of the C/D class of snoRNA which contain the C (UGAUGA) and D (CUGA) box motifs. This family seems to be found exclusively in plants. C/D box small nucleolar RNAs are known to act as a methylation guides for 18S ribosomal RNA. The record is from Rfam by way of RNAcentral. Lineage: Eukaryota; Viridiplantae; Streptophyta; Magnoliopsida; Poales; Poaceae.
GAUGAUAUGAUAACCCUUCCCCUAGACGAUCGACAACAGACAUACUGAACGCUAUAAUUUCUCCAUUAAGAAAACCAGGGUAGAAGUCUGAUCCUC